This 264-nucleotide ribosomal RNA is filed under the name uncultured bacterium. RNAcentral's name for it is "partial 16S ribosomal RNA". It matches the Rfam family "Bacterial small subunit ribosomal RNA", at positions 97 to 353 of the family's 1533-position model. The record is from RNAcentral.
GGCGAACGGGUGAGUAACACGUGGGUAACCUGCCCAUCAGAAGGGGAGUAACACUUGGAAACAGGUGCUAAUACCGUAUAACAAUCGAAACCGCAUGGUUUCGGUUUGAAAGGCGCUUUUGCGUCACUGAUGGAUGGACCCGCGGUGCAUUAGCUAGUUGGUGAGGUAACGGCUCACCAAGGCAACGGUGCAUAGCCGACCUGAGAGGGUGAUCGGCCACAUUGGGACUGAGACACGGCCCAAACUCCUACGGGAGGCAGCAUG